Molecule: ribosomal RNA, 807 nt
Filed under: Triticum aestivum (bread wheat)
Lineage: Eukaryota; Viridiplantae; Streptophyta; Magnoliopsida; Poales; Poaceae
Description: partial small subunit ribosomal RNA
Source: RNAcentral
AUGAUCGGCUAUGGCGGCGGUGGAAGAGUGUACAGGGGCAGGCUUCAUGAUGGUCGAGAGGUGGCCGUCGAGCGCGUGAGUAGCCUACAAUCAGACAACAUACAGCCGGAGCUCGAAAUCCUGUCACGGCUCCGACACAAACACAUCGCCCACCUCCUUGGAUCGUGUGUGACUGCGGCCACAGACAAGAGACAAAAGCGCCUGCUGACCACCAAGCGAAGAAAGGAACCCGAAGAGGAGCCAGAAGGGUUCAUCGUCUACGAGUACAUGGAGAACGGCACGCUCUACGACCACCUGCACCGUAACCAGGGCUCCUCCGCACCAGCACCGGCGAGGGUGUGCUGGAAGACGCGCAUAGAGGUGCUCCUCUGUGUGUCGCGCGCCAUCAGGCACCUGCACUGUCCUGCCGAAGAACCGAUCAUCCACCGUGACAUCAAGUCAAGUAACAUCCUUUUCGACAACGGUUGGGUGCCACAUGUGUCGGACUUUGGCUCGUCACUCACCUGGCACGUGGCGAGCGUGAAGGACUCGGGGUUGGGGUGCCCUGUUAUGGGCACAUUUGGGUACGUGAAGCCGGCGAGCAACGUGUACAGCCUGGGCGUGCUGAUGCUCGAGGUGUUGACAGGGAAACGGGCAUUUCUCCAAGGGGGAUUAAAGAUAAAGGAAGAUCUAGCAUGUUUUGCAUCUCCCAUCAUCGAGGCUGGUGAUAUUAUGGAGUUGCUGGACAAGCGAGGAGCCAACACCAUUGCAGUUGCAGGCGCUGAAGCGUGUAGCGCAAAUUCUUUACUCUUUUGCAUUCGAUUCUAG